Molecule: long non-coding RNA, 573 nt
Organism: Callorhinus ursinus (northern fur seal)
Lineage: Eukaryota; Metazoa; Chordata; Mammalia; Carnivora; Otariidae
Source: RefSeq, a predicted model, not a curated record
GGCAAUUCUUCUGUUGCACAUGGCUUGACCAAGGUCAUGUGACGGGAUUCUGCAGGUGGCUGAGCCACUCCGGAGGAUCCAAGACAUCAUUACUCUCAUGGCUGGCUCCUCGGCAGUGAAGCCCGGAAGGCUUGAAUCAAACAGUCCUGUGUAUCAAAGUGUAUCUCUAACUAGAGGGUCUCAGAGUAGUUGUAAUUUUCACAGGGAAGCUCAGGGCUCCCAGAGACCAAGAGACCCAGGUGAAAGCUGCAAAGCUUCUUAGAAAUCCCACAAUAACACUUUUUUUGUGUCCUGUUUGGUCAAGCCAAUCACUAAGCCAAGCCCGGAUUCACUGGUCAAGGAAUUUCAAGAAACCAGAGGUGAAACAGCUUCUCCAGUUGAAAGCUAAAAGCUGGUGUCCUUGCUACAGACGUGUCCUUGGUUGCAAUGUAAGAUGAAGAACUUCAAUAAUGACCCAGCCUCCUGGCCUACAGAAGGCAAGAAUGUGGGAGUUUUACUAGGGGUAUCAGAGACGUUACCGAGGUCGCCUCAUUUCCAGCAUGACUCUAGACUUCAUUAAAUUAAUUAAUUAAG